RNAcentral lists this ribosomal RNA (259 nucleotides) under uncultured bacterium. Its description in RNAcentral is "partial 16S ribosomal RNA". It matches the Rfam family "Bacterial small subunit ribosomal RNA", at positions 793 to 1055 of the family's 1533-position model. The record is from RNAcentral.
GUCCACGCCGUAAACGAUGAUCACUCGUUGUUGGCAAUACACAGUCAGCGACUGAGCGAAAGCAUUAAGUGAUCCACCUGGGGAGUACGUUCGCAAGAAUGAAACUCAAAGGAAUUGACGGGGGCCCGCACAAGCGGAGGAACAUGUGGUUUAAUUCGAUGAUACGCGAGGAACCUUACCUAGGCUUAAAUGUAGAGUGCAUGAGGUGGAAACACUUCUUUCCUUCGGGACUCUUUACAAGGUGCUGCAUGGUUGUCGU